RNAcentral lists this long non-coding RNA (316 nucleotides) under Ananas comosus (pineapple). RNAcentral describes it as "long non-coding RNA (ACOM_LNC015172)". Lineage: Eukaryota; Viridiplantae; Streptophyta; Magnoliopsida; Poales; Bromeliaceae. The record is from RNAcentral.
AAAUAAUUCUUACUUACUUAUCUCUCAGAUACAGCGGUUUCCAAAGCAAAGAUUUUCCGGUUGAUCCCGCUGCUCCAUUUGUACCGAAAGAAGAACCAGAGGAGACUUCUGAUCAUACCUCUGAUGUCCCACCUUCUUCUUCUGUAAUAAACUUUGCUUUUAUUUGAAUUUUCUUUUCUUAACAUAAUUAAUACUUACUUCAUCUUUAUCCAUUUUGUCUGCAGUCAAUUCCAACUUCUUCAUCGAUCCCAGCUUCAGAGAAAAGACCGAUUGAAACCAAACAAUCUACUCCUCCACCGCCUCCAAAGAGACGCAA